RNAcentral lists this ribosomal RNA (460 nucleotides) under uncultured bacterium. RNAcentral's name for it is "partial 16S ribosomal RNA". It matches the Rfam family "Bacterial small subunit ribosomal RNA", at positions 338 to 795 of the family's 1533-position model. The record is from RNAcentral.
CCUACGGGGUGCUGCAGUGAGGAAUAUUGGUCAAUGGACGAGAGUCUGAACCAGCCAAGUAGCGUGAAGGAUGACUGCCCUAUGGGUUGUAAACUUCUUUUAUAUGGGAAUAAAAUGUUCCACGUGUGGGAUUUUGUAUGUACCCUAUGAAUAAGGAUCGGCUAACUCCGUGCCAGCAGCCGCGGUAAUACGGAGGAUCCGAUCGUUAUACGGAUUUAUUGGGUUUAAAGGGAGCGUAGGUGGAAUGUUAAGUCAGUUGUGAAAGUUUGCGGCUCAACCGUAAAAUUGCAGUUGAAACUGGCAGUCUUGAGUACAGGAGAGGUGGGCGGAAUUCGUGGUGUAGCGGUGAAAUGCUUAGAUAUCACGAAGAACUCCGAUUGCGAAGGCAGUUCACUGGACUGCAACUGACACUGAGGCUCGAAAGUGUGGGUAUCAAACAGGAUUAGAUACCCUAGUAGUC